UACGUAGGGUGCAAGCGUUUGUCCGGAAUUAUUGGGCGUAAAGAGCUCGUAGGCGGUUUGUCGCGUCUGCUGUGAAAACCCGAGGCUCAACCUCGGGCCUGCAGUGGGUACGGGCAGACUAGAGUGCGGUAGGGGAGAUUGGAAUUCCUGGUGUAGCGGUGGAAUGCGCAGAUAUCAGGAGGAACACCAAUGGCGAAGGCAGAUCUCUGGGCCGUAACUGACGCUGGAGGAGCGAAAGCGUGGGGAGCAAACAGG
RNAcentral lists this ribosomal RNA (255 nucleotides) under uncultured bacterium. RNAcentral's name for it is "partial 16S ribosomal RNA". It matches the Rfam family "Bacterial small subunit ribosomal RNA", at positions 524 to 776 of the family's 1533-position model. The record is from RNAcentral.